This 502-nucleotide ribosomal RNA is filed under the name uncultured bacterium. RNAcentral's name for it is "partial 16S ribosomal RNA". It matches the Rfam family "Bacterial small subunit ribosomal RNA", at positions 30 to 523 of the family's 1533-position model. The record is from RNAcentral.
AUUGAGCGCUGGCGGCAGGCUUAACACAUGCAAGUCGAGCGGGGUGAUGGUGCUUGCACUAUCACUUAGCGGCGGACGGGUGAGUAAUGCUUAGGAAUCUGCCUAUUAGUGGGGGACAACAUCUCGAAAGGGAUGCUAAUACCGCAUACGUCCUACGGGAGAAAGCAGGGGAUCACUUGUGACCUUGCGCUAAUAGAUGAGCCUAAGUCGGAUUAGCUAGUUGGUGGGGUAAAGGCCUACCAAGGCGACGAUCUGUAGCUGGUCUGAGAGGACGACCGGCCGCACUGGGCAUGAGACACGGCCCAGACUCCGACGGGAGGCAGCAGUGGGGAAUUUUGGACAAUGGGCGCAAGCCUGAUCCAGCCAUUCCGCGUGCAGGACGAAGGCCUUCGGGUUGUAAACUGCUUUUGUACGGAACGAAAAGGCUCUGGUUAAUACCUGGGGCUCAUGACGGUACCGUAAGAAUAAGCACCGGCUAACUACGUGCCAGCAGCCGCGGUAA